RNAcentral lists this ribosomal RNA (399 nucleotides) under Cyclocephala mafaffa. RNAcentral describes it as "partial small subunit ribosomal RNA". Lineage: Eukaryota; Metazoa; Arthropoda; Insecta; Coleoptera; Scarabaeidae. The record is from RNAcentral.
AUACCCUAUUAUUGAAARUAUAAAUUGUAAUACUAGAGUAGUAAUAGUUAUGUUCUUGAAAUUCAAAAAAUCUGGCGGUAUUUUAGUCUAUUCAGAGGAACCUGUCCUGUAAUUGAUAAUCCACGAUUAAUUGUACUUAUUUUUAGUUUGUAUAUCGUCGUAGUUAGAAUGUUUUUAAAAAAGAGGGAAUAUUCAAAAUUUAAUUGAAAUUAAAUAAAAUCAGAUCAAGAUACAGCGUAUAAAUAAGAAGAGAUGGGUUACAAUAAAUUUAUUUAAAUGGUUAAAAUAAUUAAAAUUAUUUUAUAAAGUGGAUUUGAUAGUAAUAUAAUUAAUUUAAAUUAUAUGAUUUUAGCUCUAAAAUAUGUACAUAUCGCCCGUCGCUCCUUCUUGAAAGAUGGA